UAAUGCCUAGGAAUCUGCCUGGUAGUGGGGGACAACGUCUCGAAAGGGACGCUAAUACCGCAUACGUCCUACGGGAGAAAGCAGGGGACCUUCGGGCCUUGCGCUAUCAGAUGAGCCUAGGUCGGAUUAGCUAGUUGGUGAGGUAAUGGCUCACCAAGGCGACGAUCCGUAACUGGUCUGAGAGGAUGAUCAGUCACACUGGAACUGAGACACGGUCCAGACUCCUACGGGAGGCAGCAGUGGGGAAUAUUGGACAAUGGGCGAAAGCCUGAUCCAGCCAUGCCGCGUGUGUGAAGAAGGUCUUCGGAUUGUAAAGCACUUUAAGUUGGGAGGAAGGGCUGUAAAUUAAUACUUUGCUGUUUUGACGUUACCGACAGAAUAAGCACCGGCUAACUCUGUGCCAGCAGCCGCGGUAAUACAGAGGGUGCAAGCGUUAAUCGGAAUUACUGGGCGUAAAGCGCGCGUAGGUGGUUUGUUAAGUUGGAUGUGAAAGCCCCGGGCUCAACCUGGGAACUGCAUUCAAAACUGACAAGCUAGAGUAUGGUAGAGGGUGGUGGAAUUUCCUGUGUAGCGGUGAAAUGCGUAGAUAUAGGAAGGAACACCAGUGGCGAAGGCGACCACCUGGACUGAUACUGACACUGAGGUGCGAAAGCGUGGGGAGCAAACAGGAUUAGAUA
Molecule: ribosomal RNA, 677 nt
Filed under: Pseudomonas sp. SA042
Lineage: Bacteria; Pseudomonadati; Pseudomonadota; Gammaproteobacteria; Pseudomonadales; Pseudomonadaceae
Description: bacterial SSU rRNA
Rfam family: Bacterial small subunit ribosomal RNA
Source: RNAcentral